This 688-nucleotide long non-coding RNA is filed under the name Salmo salar (Atlantic salmon). RNAcentral describes it as "lncRNA (ENSSSAG00000113711.1)". Lineage: Eukaryota; Metazoa; Chordata; Actinopteri; Salmoniformes; Salmonidae. The record is from RNAcentral.
UUUGAGGAUAAUGCUAGUAGCAGGUUAUACAGUAUUCAUAGAGAUAGACAUGCAGCCAUAUGAGGAUAAUGCUAGCAGCAGGUUAUACAGUAUUCAUAUAGAUAGACAUGCAGCCAUAUGAGGGUAAUGCUAGUAGCAGGUUAUACAGUAUUCACAGAGAUAGACAUGCAGCCAUUUGAGGAUAAUGCUAGUAGCAGGUUAUACAGUAUUCAUAUAGAUAGACAUGCAGCCAUAUGAGGAUAAUGCUAGUAGCAGGUUAUACAGUAUUCAUAUAGAUAGACAUGCAGCCAUAUGAGGAUAAUGCUAGCAGCAGGUUAUACAGUAUUCAUAUAGAUAGACAUGCAGCCAUUUGAGGAUAAUGCUAGUAGCAGGUUAUACAGUAUUCAUAUAGAUAGACAUGCAGCCAUAUGAGGAUAAUGCUAGCAGCAGGUUAUACAGUAUUCCUAUAGAUGGAGAUGCAGCCAUAUGAGGAUAAUGCUAGCAGCAGGUUAUACAGUAUUCCUAUAGAUGGAGAUGCAGCCAUUUGAGGCUAAUGUUGGUGUAAUAUUAAUGGUAGCAUUGAAUUAUUUGUACACAUUACAUACAGUAUUUUGUACUGAAUGCCUCUGUAUGUCUGAAAACCCUAUCUUCUCACUCUAGAUACAGGUUACAUAUGCCAUUACACCGCAUACUGACCCCAUUCAACACU